This is a long non-coding RNA of Anolis carolinensis (green anole), 4186 nucleotides long. RefSeq lists it as uncharacterized. The transcript is spliced from 2 exons. The record is from RefSeq and is a predicted model, not a curated record. Lineage: Eukaryota; Metazoa; Chordata; Lepidosauria; Squamata; Anolidae.
UUGUACAUUUUACCCCUUUAUAUGAAGGCAAAAGUAAUUAUAUCCAUUUCAAAACAGACAGGUGGUGCAUAUAUAAUUACUAUUUUAUAUUCCAGACCUUUUAAUUAUAGUUUCAGUUACAUGAACCACUUUCUUGUCAUUCUAGCAAGAAAAGUCCCCCACACAGAGACAUACUUUAAUCUCUACCUUUAAGUUAACUUUCUGCACAUUAAGCCCAUUAACUCCUAUCUGAGCCUCAGCCUUCUACAUAUUUGAAAAUGUUAUUUUUGUCCUUCCUUCAGGCUAAAAGUUGCCACAUUAUUAUUUCCUCAUUGAUUUUUCCCUUUGAAAUCCUCUCUAAUCUAAGUUGAUCUUCCCUAGACCAUCCAAUUUAUCUGCAUUUGGUUUAUCUACCUGAACUUAAUCUCGACACCGAGGAAACAUGAACAGUUGAAUUAAGGGGGAAAUACAUAAAAACUUAAGUCAGCCAAAUUGGAAACAUCAAAUCCUUUUGAACAGAUGGGCUGGUUGGAGCUGGUCACGUCUUAUUGCCAUGAGCAUCUUGAGAAAGGAAGAUGAGGAAUGCGUCCAUUUUCAUGUUUUCAUAAACAGAACAGGAAUGCCAGCCCAACUUUUCAAAGCAUGACAAAUACUGUUAGGAAGAAACUGAGGCACAGCUUGUCUCCUUAGGGAUGGUGAUGGAGUUGAGAGAAGUGGGGAGAUUAUUUUUUUUUUUGCGAACUUGACAUUGAAUGACAUUAUGUUGCUUUUCAGAAGGCUUAAACGAAAUAUGCUGACUGACAUACAAGCGAUUCUUUUCUUGAUGCAUCUAACAGAAAAAGAGUUUUGUUCAACCACUAAGAUACCUUCAUGAGAAACAAUCUAGCUAGAAGCCUUGGGGCCAAACCCCAUCCACUGAGCUUCCCUCUACUAUACUAUCAGUCAUCAUAGUGGAUGAGAGACAAAAAAACAGAUGUAGGGAGAAGGGUUGCAUUGGGAAGAGGAUCUACUGCCAUUUCACCUUAGGGGUACUGAUAUUGCAAUGACCACAUCUAAAUCAAGCCGGAAAGUUCUGUCUACCAGUUGUCUUGAAUGUGGGAGCUCCUAUAUCCAAAUGCAUAAUGUUAAUGAAAUAGAUUAAUUUUACAUGCCCAUUGGCCCCAUGCAUUGCAACAAUAACAGCUAUUUAUUUAUCAACUAUAUUUUAAUACUGCCAACCCUCCAAAAACUAAGACACUAGUGCAUCUGUAACAUCAUUAGUGUUGUACUGCUCCCUCCCAAAAAUACUCAACUGCAAUAAUCCUACAUGAAAUGUUGACCCAAAACAUGCCCAAAGCUGAGCUCAAAUAUUCCACUCCCCCCCCCUUUGUUGAGGACAAAAAGCUUAGCAGUCAUAAAAUCUUAGAGUUUGAUUGGCCUUAAAGGCUCUCCAAUUGAACUCCUACUCAUAGAAUGAAACCUAGAGCUGGAACAUCUCAGCUUCUCUUUGAAGAUAUCUUAAAAAAAAGCUUCAAACCUCCAUAGGUAAUUGGUUCUAUUGUGGAUUGCCGUUAUCAAGAAUUUCUUUCUAAGCACCUUAGCACUCAUGCUUGACCCAUGAUGAAUGCAAUCUAGACACUGCCCCAGUAGUUUAUAAAAUGUCACUGGACAGUAGUGCUGAAGUACUGCAAACCAUGAAUAACAGAAAGAUUAAUAAUUCACCCUGUCUACUUCAGUUUUCCUUUUUUACUGGUUGCCAUCUCUGCUGUUUCAGAGGAUUGUAUGAGGUAAAAAAUACUUCCUAGUCUCACACAACUGCUGAAGCGUCAGAUUAAAAACACGUCACCUAAGAGUACUCAUAAAUUCACCCAGCUCCAUUUGAAAACUAAUCAUGUCCUUUGCCCUACAUUGACUGUUCUUGAAAGACUAGCGCAGAACUUCUCUGCUAUGAUGGAUAACAUCCUUCAUUAAAUUCCAUCCCAAAGCUCAAACAAGAAAUAUCAGAGAAUAGAGUUCUUGCCUUAUGUUCCACCUGAACCAAACCCUAUUCUCAAUUACAGGUAGUUUCAAUGGGAAGAGGUUUCACUGAGAUUUCAACAUGGCUUAGUUUAACUCAAUCCUCAAAACAUUAUGAUGCACCAUUUUUAUCAGUCUUAAACAGCACAUUGGUUAUACAUUUCUUAAUUUAGGACUGCAGUGUCCUGUUAGAAUGAUUUAGUAGAAGUUUUUCACAUAGUAUAAGGUAAAGAGUGUGUCUAAUAUGUUUUUUUCUGCUGUGAGCUAGUUACUGGACAAUUUAAUCCAUUGUAGUUGGUUUUAUAUCAUCAGUGACAUGCUAAAGUCUUGACCAAAGAAGAUAUUUGUGAAGCUGAUAUCUGAGAUCCAAAUAGAGAUUCUGAAGUUUGAAAUUGGGCCCCUCUGAAUCCAAACCAAACUGAGACACGGCUUCUUUUGGUUAUACUGUAUGCCAAAGUGAAAAUCUUAUGGGUUUGGUUUAAGAGCUGAAAUAGGACUCAAUGAGACCAGUUUAAAUCACACCCAGUUAUAGAAAAAUGUUUCAGGCAAGACACAUUUUCUCAGUCCUAGAUGAAGGCAAUGACAAAGCUCAUGUGCAUAAUUUUGCCAGUAAUACCCUAAGGUACAGUUGUCAUAAAUUUUAAUUGACUUGAAUGUACAUAAGCAUGACAAUAAGAACAACCAGAGUCAGCACACCAUAAUGGGAUGAGCUUUGGACUACAACUCUGGAGAUCAGGUUUCAAACCCCCAAUUGGCCAUGAAAACCCAUUGGGAAACCCAUUAGGCAAGUCACACUAUCUAAGCCUCUGAAAAAAGGCUAAUGCAAACUUUCUUCAAACAAAUCUUGCCAAGAAAACCUCAUGAUUGAAUUACCAUAGGGCCCUUACAAAAGCUUGAAGGCACAUAGCAACAAAGAAUAAGGCUAAAAACAAUUAUGGACAGACAUAAGGCUUCUAGGAUCUGCUGUUUCUUUUUAGUUUCAUUAUGAGCCCCGAAUCUCCAUCAUGUUCCUUGACCCAAAUUUAAGGUAAAGGAAACUAUCUAGUUGGGCCAACUGAAUAUAAAUAACUGGCAGCCCUUAAGACUUGACCACUAAGGAUUCUAUUAUUCCAUAUGCCAGAGACAGCAGGGUGCAUUCACUGACUACAGGAUCUUCAAGAUUCAAGAGAAACUCAGUUCUUUAGUAAAAAAUACUCUCUGAAAAUUUAGAAGAGCCAAUAGUCUUCAAGGAACAUGGAAACCAGCUCAAAGUGAGUCUAACCUGUUUCCAUUUCCUUCCUGACACCUGACCUUGUCCUCAACCAAUUUCAAAAGUGAAACUUUCACCCUCUAUCAGUGUAACUGAGCCUAUUAAAACAAGAAAGGAGCCAAAGGCCAGACUGCUAGCCUCUUGGAAGGAAACCUCUUGUUUGCAAAGUUCUGUGCAUCACUAGUUUGAUUUACAAGUAUUGAUGAAACUCAGCUAUGGUUGUCUGCCUUGCAGUUACUUCAGUCAUUGCCGUCUGCCAUUGUUCCUGGAGGUACUAUGCCUUGCAAGCCAUGCUUCAGUUUUUCAGAGUAUUCUGCCAGAUUGGCAGGGUGCUUUCAGAUUAGCAAGAUGUUAGCAGCAACAGCAGGUUCUGGGGAGAUGCAGGUGAAGUGCUUAACAUUUUGCAAAAGAAUGUUGAGUUUCUGCCCACCUGAAGGAAGAGACUUCCCAAAUUGACCUGAAGCAUUUGCUUUUUCAAUGAGUAUUGGAACCUCUGGUAGCAGUAUUCAAAUCUUUGGGUUUUUUUUAAAAUAUGGAACAGGGAAAAAUAAUUAGACAGACUGGAUCAAGUCUAGAUUUCAGGAGAAGUUACUUUUAGUAUUGCAAGCAGAGUUGAAAUAUUAUUGCCUGGAUUUUAUGACUCUUUGUUUCCCAGGAACCACAUGGCCAAAGAGAGGGAAAACCAAUCUCCAUUAAUAUCCCCCCAGACCAUCUUAAUUGACAACAAAAAUAACAUCUAGAUAAAAUGUAUGCCUAUGUCUCUAACACUAUCAUUAUUUUUCUUUUAUGAUUUUUAACACUUUUGUUUAUUUAUUUAUUUAUUUACAUCACUUUUACCCCGCCUUUCUCUCCGAGGAGACUCAACUCAACUUUUGUUGGAUGAAGAAGUCAGUGGAGCAUUGAAGGCAUUAUGUAUUUUGUGCAUUUUUGUUUGGUCCAAUAAAGGUAUAGCUGUUGCCUGGG